Molecule: ribosomal RNA, 820 nt
Filed under: uncultured bacterium
Lineage: Bacteria
Description: bacterial SSU rRNA
Rfam family: Bacterial small subunit ribosomal RNA
Source: RNAcentral
AGAGUUUGAUCCUGGCUCAGGAUGAACGCUAGCGGUAGGCAUAACACAUGCAAGUCGAGGGGCAGCUGGUUUGGUAGCAAUACUGAAUGUCAGGCGACCGGCGGAUGGGUGAGUAACGCGUACGCAACCUACCUUGUACAGUGGGAUAGACACUGGAAACGGUGCGUAAUACCACGUAAUAAUAUAGAUAGGCAUCUAUUUAUAUGGGAAGGGUACGUAAGUAUUGGUAUAAGAUGGGCGUGCGUAGGAUUAGAUAGAUGGUGGGGUAACGGCUUACCAUGUCGACGAUCUUUAGGGGUUCUGAGAGGAAGGUCCCCCACAUUGCAACUGAGAACGGUGCAAACUCCUACGGGAGGCAGCAGUGAGGAAUAUUGGUCAAUGGGCGGAAGCUUGAACCAGCCAUACCGCGUGCAGGAAGGCGGCCUUAUGGGUUGUAAACUGCUUUUAUAAUGGGAUAGUGAUUAUAUCGUGCAUAUGAUAGGGAAGGUACAUUAUGAAUAAGUAUCGGCUAACUCCGUGCCAGCAGCCGCGGUAAUACGGAGGAUACGAGCGUUGUCCGGAUUUAUUGGGUUUAAAGGGUGCGUAGGCGGUUGAUUAGGUCUAUGGUGAAAUGGUUGUGCUCAACACAAUUUAGCUGUAGAAACCGGUCGGCUAGAAUAUAAGUGGCGUAGGCGGAAUAAAGCGUGUAGAGGUGACAUUCAUAGAUAUGCUUUAGAACACCGUUCGCGAAGGCGGCUUACGAAGGUAAAAUUGACGCUAAUGCACGAGAGCGUGGGUAUCGAACAGAAUUAGAUACUCUGGUAGUCCACGCUGUAAACGA